UGGGGAAUAUUGGACAAUGGGCGCAAGCCUGAUCCAGCCAUGCCGCGUGAGUGAUGAAGGCCUUAGGGUUGUAAAGCUCUUUUAUCCGGGACGAUAAUGACGGUACCGGAGGAAUAAGCCCCGGCUAACUUCGUGCCAGCAGCCGCGGUAAUACGAAGGGGGCUAGCGUUGCUCGGAAUCACUGGGCGUAAAGGGCGCGUAGGCGGCGUUUCAAGUCGGGGGUGAAAGCCUGUGGCUCAACCACAGAAUGGCCUUCGAUACUGGGACGCUUGAGUAUGGUAGAGGUUGGUGGGAACUGCGAGUGUAGAGGUGAAAUUCGUAGAUAUUCGCAAGAACACCGGUGGGCGAAGGCGGCCAACUGGACCAUUACUGACGCUGAGGCGCGAAAGCGUGGGGGACAAACAGGAUUAGAUACCCUGGUAGUCCACGCCGUAAACGAUGAAUGCCAGCUGUUGGGGUGCUUGCACCGCAGUAGCGCAGCUAACGCUUUGAGCAUUCCGCCUGGGGAGUACGGUCGCAAGAUUA
RNAcentral lists this ribosomal RNA (525 nucleotides) under uncultured bacterium. RNAcentral describes it as "bacterial SSU rRNA". It matches the Rfam family "Bacterial small subunit ribosomal RNA", at positions 355 to 896 of the family's 1533-position model. The record is from RNAcentral.